GCUCCCGUAGCCUAGUCUGGAUAAGGCGACAGCCUUCUAAGCUGUAGAUCGAGAGUUCAAAUCUCUCCGGGAGCG
Molecule: transfer RNA, 75 nt
Filed under: Candidatus Naiadarchaeales archaeon SRR2090153.bin461
Lineage: Archaea; Nanobdellati; Candidatus Undinarchaeota; Candidatus Undinarchaeia; Candidatus Naiadarchaeales
Description: tRNA-Arg
Rfam family: tRNA
About the family: Transfer RNA (tRNA) molecules are approximately 80 nucleotides in length. Their secondary structure includes four short double-helical elements and three loops (D, anti-codon, and T loops).
Source: RNAcentral